UACAGAGGUCCCAAGCGUUGUUCGGAUUCACUGGGCGUAAAGGGUGCGUAGGUGGUCGGGUAAGUUUAAGGUGAAAGCUCCGGGCUCAACCCGGAAAUGGCCUUGAAUACUAUCCGGCUCGAGGGUUGGAGGGGGGACUGGAAUUCUCGGUGUAGCAGUGAAAUGCGUAGAUAUUCGGAAGAACACCAGUGGCGAAGGCGACUUACUGGACACAUAUUGACGCUGAGGUGCGAAAGCGUGGGGAGCAAACAGG
RNAcentral lists this ribosomal RNA (253 nucleotides) under uncultured bacterium. RNAcentral describes it as "partial 16S ribosomal RNA". It matches the Rfam family "Bacterial small subunit ribosomal RNA", at positions 524 to 776 of the family's 1533-position model. The record is from RNAcentral.